RNAcentral lists this ribosomal RNA (1280 nucleotides) under Exophiala heteromorpha. RNAcentral's name for it is "LSU rRNA". It matches the Rfam family "Eukaryotic large subunit ribosomal RNA", at positions 74 to 1395 of the family's 3401-position model. The record is from RNAcentral. Lineage: Eukaryota; Fungi; Ascomycota; Eurotiomycetes; Chaetothyriales; Herpotrichiellaceae.
AAUGCCUUCAGUUCACGGCGAAGUUGAAAGCGGCAACAGCUUCAAAUUUGAGAUCUGGCCUCUUUGGGGUCUGAGUUGUAAUUUGUAGAGGAGGUUUCGGGCACCGCUCCGGUUUAAAUUUCUUGGAACAGAAUGUCAAAGAGGGUGAGAACCCCGUCUUGGACCGGCAGUAGGGCCCAUGUGAAACUCCUUCGAACGAGUCGAGUUGUUUGGGAAUGGCAGCUCAAAAUGGGUGGGUAAAUUUCAUCUAAAGCUAAAUAUUGGCCAGAGACCGAUAGCGCACAAGUAGAGUGAUCGAAAGAUGAAAAGCACUUUGAAAAGAGAGUUAAACAGUACGUGAAAUUGUUGAAAGGGAAGCGCUUGCAACCAGACUUGCGCGCGGCGGUUCCCCCUUCCUUUUGGUUGGGUUAUUCCGCCGUGUCCAGGCCAAACAUCGGGUUCUGGGGGUCGGUUAAAGGCCCGGGGGAAUGUAUCUACCCUUCGGGGCGUAGACUUAUAGCCCUGGGUGUCAUGCGACCUCCCGGGACCGAGGAACGCGCUUCGGCUCGGAUGUUGGCGUAAUGGUUGUCAGCGACCCGUCUUGAAACACGGACCAAGGAGUCUAACAUCUAUGCGAGUGUUUGGGUGUCAAACCCGGAACGCGGAAUGAAAGUGAACGGAGGUAGGAAGCCUUUGGCUGCACUAUCGACCGAUCCUGAUGUCUUCGGAUGGAUUUGAGUAAGAGCAUAGCUGUUGGGACCCGAAAGAUGGUGAACUAUGCCUGAAUAGGGUGAAGCCAGAGGAAACUCUGGUGGAGGCUCGCAGCGGUUCUGACGUGCAAAUCGAUCGUCAAAUUUGGGGUAUAGGGGCGAAAGACUAAUCGAACCAUUAAGGAACGCUACUAGGUGGUUAAGUGUAACCUCAAAGUGGUUGCAAGUGCCUGAUUCUGGCGCGACACUGUCCAAUUGCGGGGGACGUCCUAAAGCUCUGGCGACCGCCUCCCCUAUGAAAAAUAGGUGCAGGCACCAGGUUAAUAGCCCUCGGGUAUGGUAAACACCUCCAGAGAUGUAAACAAUGGAUAAUCUGCAGCCAAGUCCCUAAGGGUGGGUGACCGCCUAUGGGAUGCAGUUCACAGACUAAAUGGCAGUGGGCUCCGAGUAUCACACUCGGGGCUUAAGAUAUAGUCGGACCCCCGGGGAGACCCGGGCGCAUACGCUAAACUUGGCGCAAACGAAUCCCCCCCUCCUCCAGGAGGGGGUUGCUCCAGGCCUGAACGGUGCGGUCACUCUAUCGAGUGUCGG